RNAcentral lists this transfer RNA (71 nucleotides) under Ovis aries (sheep). It matches the Rfam family "tRNA". Rfam says of the family: Transfer RNA (tRNA) molecules are approximately 80 nucleotides in length. Their secondary structure includes four short double-helical elements and three loops (D, anti-codon, and T loops). The record is from Rfam by way of RNAcentral. Lineage: Eukaryota; Metazoa; Chordata; Mammalia; Artiodactyla; Bovidae.
UCCUUGUUGGCUCAGUGGUAAAGAAUCUGCCUGCAGUGCAGGAGACAUGGGUUCGAUCCCUGGAUGGGGAA